UAUUUUGAACCGCAUGGUUCAAUAGUGAAAGACGGUUUCGGCUGUCACUUAUAGAUGGACCCGCGCCGUAUUAGCUAGUUGGUAAGGUAACGGCUUACCAAGGCGACGAUACGUAGCCGACCUGAGAGGGUGAUCGGCCACACUGGAACUGAGACACGGUCCAGACUCCUACGGGAGGCAGCAGUAGGGAAUCUUCCGCAAUGGGCGAAAGCCUGACGGAGCAACGCCGCGUGAGUGAUGAAGGUCUUCGGAUCGUAAAACUCUGUUGUUAGGGAAGAACAAAUUUGUUAGUAACUGAACAAGUCUUGACGGUACCUAACCAGAAAGCCACGGCUAACUACGUGCCAGCAGCCGCGGUAAUACGUAGGUGGCAAGCGUUAUCCGGAAUUAUUGGGCGUAAAGCGCGCGUAGGCGGUUUCUUAAGUCUGAUGUGAAAGCCCACGGCUCAACCGUGGAGGGUCAUUGGAAACUGGGAAACUUGAGUGCAGAAGAGGAGAGUGGAAUUCCAUGUGUAGCGGUGAAAUGCGCA
Molecule: ribosomal RNA, 529 nt
Filed under: Staphylococcus sp.
Lineage: Bacteria; Bacillati; Bacillota; Bacilli; Caryophanales; Staphylococcaceae
Description: bacterial SSU rRNA
Rfam family: Bacterial small subunit ribosomal RNA
Source: RNAcentral